Molecule: ribosomal RNA, 169 nt
Filed under: Escherichia coli
Lineage: Bacteria; Pseudomonadati; Pseudomonadota; Gammaproteobacteria; Enterobacterales; Enterobacteriaceae
Description: partial 23S ribosomal RNA
Rfam family: Bacterial large subunit ribosomal RNA
Source: RNAcentral
GGGUUGUGAGGUUAAGCGACUAAGCGUACACGGUGGAUGCCCUGGCAGUCAGAGGCGAUGAAGGACGUGCUAAUCUGCGAUAAGCGUCGGUGAGGUGAUAUGAACCGUUAUAACCGGCGAUUUCCGAAUGGGGAAACCCAGUGUGUUUCGACACACUAUCAUUAACUGA